GACUAUUUAUCAAAAAUAUAAGUCUCCACAAAAUCGUAAGAUCAUGUAUAACGACCGUCAUCCACCUAGUGCAAAAAGGUCAAGUUAGUGCCAUGAUGACAAAAAAUCGAUGACUGAAGCCAAUGAGUGUAACUACAUUGGACUUAAGUAACGAAAUUCUUUCUCAUGUAAGUUUAACAAUUCUCGGACGAAAUACC
Molecule: ribosomal RNA, 197 nt
Filed under: Olea europaea subsp. europaea
Lineage: Eukaryota; Viridiplantae; Streptophyta; Magnoliopsida; Lamiales; Oleaceae
Description: LSU_rRNA_bacteria
Source: RNAcentral